GGAGGGCGCAAGCGUUGUUCGGAAUUACUGGGCGUAAAGGGGGCGCAGGUGGCUUGGUAAGUCCUAUGUGAAAGCCCGCGGCUCAACCGCGGAAUGGCAUAGGAUACUGCCGAGCUUGAGACGGGUAGAGGCGAGUAGAAUUCCCGGUGUAGCGGUGGAAUGCGUAGAUAUCGGGAAGAAUACCAGUGGCGAAGGCGGCUCGCUGGGCCCGUUCUGACGCUCAGGCCCGAAAGCGUGGGGAGCAAACAGGGAUUAGAUACCCUGGUAGUCCACGCCGUAAACGAUGGGCACUAGGUGCCCGGGGAGUGUGACCUUUUCGGUGCCCGUAGCUAACGCGUUAAGUGCCCCCGCCUGGGGAGUACGGCCGCAAGGCUG
Molecule: ribosomal RNA, 375 nt
Filed under: uncultured organism
Description: partial 16S ribosomal RNA
Rfam family: Bacterial small subunit ribosomal RNA
Source: RNAcentral